GAGGCCCAGGCCUCCCGGUGCACACUGACACACCGCCGUCCGCGGGCUGAGCUUCAGUGACACCGAAGGGCACUGGCCAACAUGUCAAAACAGUUUUGAUUCCAUGAACCAAAGGGCGCACAAGGUCUAUUGCAAGCUCAGGUGAAGUCGUGGGACUCCAAAGGUAGUGGCUUUCUUGCUGCUGGUCGAUUUGCAUUACAGAGGCCGUUUACUUUCAAUUCCACUUUUACAAAAGUAGUCAAGCUCUGUAUUUCACAGUUUGCAGGUAUGACAUGGGAUUCCAGUGAUUCAAACAGCACAGUACAAAUACUGCAUAUACUUCUGCCAAAUUUGUCUCAGAUGGACUAGCUGCUAAGGAAGAAUCUAUAGCAUGACUGAGCUAACAGAGAGUGUGUUACCUUUCCAAUAGGUAAUCCCUCCAUUUGCAUGCCGUGUUCAAUGAUAGGAAAGAGGAGUUGAAUUUCUGUCAUUUUUCUGGACUUCAGCUUAAAGGUCUAUAUUGUCAGUUCAAAAAUAUAUGAAGUGAACACUAUUUCUUGUUAGCCAAUAGUUAUUGUUAUAAUAAAAUUAUUUUCAUGGUCAUUGAAAA
Molecule: long non-coding RNA, 589 nt
Filed under: Homo sapiens (human)
Lineage: Eukaryota; Metazoa; Chordata; Mammalia; Primates; Hominidae
Description: HSALNT0327950
Source: RNAcentral